GGAAAGAUGGCCGAGUGGUUGAAGGCGUAGCACUGGAAGGCUUUUUGUUUACCGAGGGUUCGAAUCCCUCUCUUUCCG
Molecule: transfer RNA, 78 nt
Filed under: Allium schoenoprasoides
Lineage: Eukaryota; Viridiplantae; Streptophyta; Magnoliopsida; Asparagales; Amaryllidaceae
Description: tRNA-Ser
Rfam family: tRNA
About the family: Transfer RNA (tRNA) molecules are approximately 80 nucleotides in length.
Source: RNAcentral